Molecule: ribosomal RNA, 2202 nt
Filed under: Escherichia coli
Lineage: Bacteria; Pseudomonadati; Pseudomonadota; Gammaproteobacteria; Enterobacterales; Enterobacteriaceae
Description: partial 23S ribosomal RNA
Rfam family: Bacterial large subunit ribosomal RNA
Source: RNAcentral
AUAAUGGGUCAGCGACUUAUAUUCUGUAGCAAGGUUAACCGAAUAGGGGAGCCGAAGGGAAACCGAGUCUUAACUGGGCGUUAAGUUGCAGGGUAUAGACCCGAAACCCGGUGAUCUAGCCAUGGGCAGGUUGAAGGUUGGGUAACACUAACUGGAGGACCGAACCGACUAAUGUUGAAAAAUUAGCGGAUGACUUGUGGCUGGGGGUGAAAGGCCAAUCAAACCGGGAGAUAGCUGGUUCUCCCCGAAAGCUAUUUAGGUAGCGCCUCGUGAAUUCAUCUCCGGGGGUAGAGCACUGUUUCGGCAAGGGGGUCAUCCCGACUUACCAACCCGAUGCAAACUGCGAAUACCGGAGAAUGUUAUCACGGGAGACACACGGCGGGUGCUAACGUCCGUCGUGAAGAGGGAAACAACCCAGACCGCCAGCUAAGGUCCCAAAGUCAUGGUUAAGUGGGAAACGAUGUGGGAAGGCCCAGACAGCCAGGAUGUUGGCUUAGAAGCAGCCAUCAUUUAAAGAAAGCGUAAUAGCUCACUGGUCGAGUCGGCCUGCGCGGAAGAUGUAACGGGGCUAAACCAUGCACCGAAGCUGCGGCAGCGACGCUGAUGCGUUGUUGGGUAGGGGAGCGUUCUGUAAGCCUGUGAAGGUGUGCUGUGAGGCAUGCUGGAGGUAUCAGAAGUGCGAAUGCUGACAUAAGUAACGAUAAAGCGGGUGAAAAGCCCGCUCGCCGGAAGACCAAGGGUUCCUGUCCAACGUUAAUCGGGGCAGGGUGAGUCGACCCCUAAGGCGAGGCCGAAAGGCGUAGUCGAUGGGAAACAGGUUAAUAUUCCUGUACUUGGUGUUACUGCGAAGGGGGGACGGAGAAGGCUAUGUUGGCCGGGCGACGGUUGUCCCGGUUUAAGCGUGUAGGCUGGUUUUCCAGGCAAAUCCGGAAAACUAAGGCUGAGGCGUGAUGACGAGGCACUACGGUGCUGAAGCAACAAAUGCCCUGCUUCCAGGAAAAGCCUCUAAGCAUCAGGUAACAUCAAAUCGUACCCCAAACCGACACAGGUGGUCAGGUAGAGAAUACCAAGGCGCUUGAGAGAACUCGGGUGAAGGAACUAGGCAAAAUGGUGCCGUAACUUCGGGAGAAGGCACGCUGAUAUGUAGGUGAAGUCCCUCGCGGAUGGAGCUGAAAUCAGUCGAAGAUACCAGCUGGCUGCAACUGUUUAUUAAAAACACAGCACUGUGCAAACACGAAAGUGGACGUAUACGGUGUGACGCCUGCCCGGUGCCGGAAGGUUAAUUGAUGGGGUCAGCGCAAGCGAAGCUCUUGAUCGAAGCCCCGGUAAACGGCGGCCGUAACUAUAACGGUCCUAAGGUAGCGAAAUUCCUUGUCGGGUAAGUUCCGACCUGCACGAAUGGCGUAAUGAUGGCCAGGCUGUCUCCACCCGAGACUCAGUGAAAUUGAACUCGCUGUGAAGAUGCAGUGUACCCGCGGCAAGACGGAAAGACCCCGUGAACCUUUACUAUAGCUUGACACUGAACAUUGAGCCUUGAUGUGUAGGAUAGGUGGGAGGCUUUGAAGUGUGGACGCCAGUCUGCAUGGAGCCGACCUUGAAAUACCACCCUUUAAUGUUUGAUGUUCUAACGUUGACCCGUAAUCCGGGUUGCGGACAGUGUCUGGUGGGUAGUUUGACUGGGGCGGUCUCCUCCUAAAGAGUAACGGAGGAGCACGAAGGUUGGCUAAUCCUGGUCGGACAUCAGGAGGUUAGUGCAAUGGCAUAAGCCAGCUUGACUGCGAGCGUGACGGCGCGAGCAGGUGCGAAAGCAGGUCAUAGUGAUCCGGUGGUUCUGAAUGGAAGGGCCAUCGCUCAACGGAUAAAAGGUACUCCGGGGAUAACAGGCUGAUACCGCCCAAGAGUUCAUAUCGACGGCGGUGUUUGGCACCUCGAUGUCGGCUCAUCACAUCCUGGGGCUGAAGUAGGUCCCAAGGGUAUGGCUGUUCGCCAUUUAAAGUGGUACGCGAGCUGGGUUUAGAACGUCGUGAGACAGUUCGGUCCCUAUCUGCCGUGGGCGCUGGAGAACUGAGGGGGGCUGCUCCUAGUACGAGAGGACCGGAGUGGACGCAUCACUGGUGUUCGGGUUGUCAUGCCAAUGGCACUGCCCGGUAGCUAAAUGCGGAAGAGAUAAGUGCUGAAAGCAUCUAAGCACGAAACUUGCCC